AACGAACGCUGGCGGCAGGCCUAACACAUGCAAGUCGAGCGAGGACUUCGGUUCUAGCGGCGGACGGGUGAGUAACGCGUGGGAAUGUGCCCUUCUCUACGGCAUAGCCCUGGGAAACGGGGAGUAAUACCGUAUACGCCCUAUUGGGGAAAGAUUUUUCGGAGAAGGAUCAGCCCGCGUUGGAUUAGGUAGUUGGUGGGGUAAUGGCCUACCAAGCCGACGAUCCAUAGCUGGUUUGAGAGGAUGAUCAGCCACACUGGGACUGAGACACGGCCCAGACUCCUACGGGAGGCAGCAGUGGGGAAUCUUAGACAAUGGGGGCAAUGCUGAACGAGCCAUGCCGGGUGAGUGAUGAAGGCCUUAGGGUAGUAAAGCUCUUUCAGCUGGGAAGAUAAUGACGGUACCAGCAGAAGAAGCCCCGGCUAACUCCGUG
RNAcentral lists this ribosomal RNA (433 nucleotides) under uncultured bacterium. RNAcentral's name for it is "partial 16S ribosomal RNA". It matches the Rfam family "Bacterial small subunit ribosomal RNA", at positions 29 to 507 of the family's 1533-position model. The record is from RNAcentral.